AUACGGAAGGUCCGGGCGUUAUCCGGAUUUAUUGGGUUUAAAGGGAGCGCAGGCGGAGAUGCAAGCGUGACGUCAAAUUUCGGGGCUCAACCCCGUCUCGCGUCGCGAACUGCGUCCCUUGGUUGCGGGAAGGGGAGGCGGAACUCGUGGUGUAGCGGUGAAAUGCAUAGAUAUCACGAAGAACUCCGAUCGCGAAGGCAGCCUUCCGGCCCGUCAACGACGCUCAUGCUCGAAGGUGCGGGUAUCAAACAGGAUUAGAUACCCUGGUAGUCCGCACAGUAAACGAUGGACACCCGCGGUUUGGCCUAUAUGGCUGAGCCGCCAAGCGAAAGCGUUAAGUGUCCCGCCUGGGGAGUACGCCGGCAACGGUGAAACUCAAAGGAAUUGACGGGG
This 393-nucleotide ribosomal RNA is filed under the name uncultured bacterium. Its description in RNAcentral is "partial 16S ribosomal RNA". It matches the Rfam family "Bacterial small subunit ribosomal RNA", at positions 523 to 918 of the family's 1533-position model. The record is from RNAcentral.